GUAAACUGACGAGUCCCAAAUAGGACGAAACGCGCGUUCUGGAU
This 44-nucleotide non-coding RNA is filed under the name Schistosoma mansoni. Lineage: Eukaryota; Metazoa; Platyhelminthes; Trematoda; Strigeidida; Schistosomatidae. The record is from RNAcentral.